GUGUUUUUUUGAGGAGACAAAGAUACUAGAAUGGUUUGUCAUUUGAAUUCAAAUAAAUCCAUCUAAAUCAUGGUUUAAAUUUUCAUUUAAAUGACUGACCAGGAAGCCUAUUCUUUACUUUUUGGAAAAUUCUACCAAAAAUUAUUAUCUCCUAGUACUUGGAUUUUUAAAAACUUAGAUAAGAAUGAUCUACGUCCAUGUUUCAGUGUGAUAGGGAAUUACAAUAUAUUUUAAAGUAAUGAUUUAGAGUCACAAAACAUUAGAUGCAGAAGCCAUCUGAAGAGGAUAAGAUAACCUUUUCAUUUCACAGAGAAGAAGCUAAUAUACAGAGAAGGAAGAACACUGGGUAUUUCCCAGAUUCUUAGGAUUUCGAACACUGUAUCUUUGGAAAGACUCCCAGACAGAAUGUGGAACAAGCAUUUGUGGGUUCUUGGAAAGUGACAGUCCAAAUGGAAAAACAGUCUGAGGUUUCCUGCACAAGUUCUUCCAGGAGUCCAGUUCCUCCAGUCCAACUCCAAAUCAGUGACCAACUCUCCGAAUGCUCGAAUGUCUGAAUGCCCAUCUUCCCCCCAGCUCCGAGUGACUGAUCCUUUACUCCAAACCCAGAUCUGUGUAGAUGCCACCAUAUGUUCCUGCUCCAGUACAAUGCAAACCUUUCAAAGAGGAGUGAGAUGAUAUUCAGGGUCACAAAUCCAUAUAAGAAGGUCCUUCUGAUACCCUCCUUUACAUAGAACCCAUGACAGAGUUACCUUCUAUUAGACUAUUCCUUGGAGAGGCAAAGACAAAGAAGGAAGAGGAAAGAGAGAUUGUUUUCUUUAGUGAUGAUUCUGCAGGAAGCAGUUAAACUCAACUAUUUAAAGGAGCUAAUGGUGAAGAGAAAGUCCUUGUGGGAAUAAGACGCAGCAGAAGAGGAAAGAGGUGACAGCUGAGGGAUAGGUUACUUCAAACAUAUUCUUGAUCACAGAUAGUCCUUCAUGCAUAUUUCCUGGUCAGAAAUGUUUUCUAUGUGAAUGCCUGCUCUCGUGGAUGGAGGAACCUGUGGCUGAGUAGACUUCAUUGUUCAUUGGAAUAUCUUUCUUGUCAAUUACCUUAAGUUUUUGUUUAUUUAAAUGAAUUUUGAUUUAAAUAAAUUUGUUCUCUUUGGUUGUUGAUAAAAGUAUAAACAUCAGUAAGGGCUCGACAAUGCACUUAAAACCUGGAUUAUUUUGGGGACUGAUAUAUGAAGGGAGACCCAGAUGCUACAUACAUACUUGCAUACACAUAUAAGUCCUGUCUCGAAUGAUAUAGAUUAUAAUCUAUCCAUGUAAAUCUCAAAGACAUUCCUAUAUAUUGUUUACAUUUUCCAUAGUAUGAGCUCCAGUUUUAAAAUUCCAUAUUUCCUAGAUUUUAUAAUUACUUAGAAACAUUGCCUCUCUCCCAAUAGAAUGAGAACUCUGAGAAGAGCAGUUUUUGUACUUUUAAGUGAGCUCAGUGGCUUGCUUCAUAAAUGUCUUCUGAAUUGAAUUUGUUAAGUAUAUGU
Molecule: long non-coding RNA, 1519 nt
Organism: Monodelphis domestica (gray short-tailed opossum)
Lineage: Eukaryota; Metazoa; Chordata; Mammalia; Didelphimorphia; Didelphidae
Source: RefSeq, a predicted model, not a curated record